RNAcentral lists this ribosomal RNA (733 nucleotides) under uncultured Coriobacteriaceae bacterium. Its description in RNAcentral is "bacterial SSU rRNA". It matches the Rfam family "Bacterial small subunit ribosomal RNA", at positions 28 to 776 of the family's 1533-position model. The record is from RNAcentral. Lineage: Bacteria; Bacillati; Actinomycetota; Coriobacteriia; Coriobacteriales; Coriobacteriaceae.
GAUGAACGCUGGCGGCGCGCCUAACACAUGCAAGUCGAACGAUUAAACCGCCCUUGGGCGGAUAUACAGUGGCGAACGGGUGAGUAACGCGUGACCAACCUUCCCCCCGCAUCGGGACAACCCGGGGAAACCCGGGCUAAUACCGGAUAUGCCGGGUAUGGCGCAUGUCAUACCCAGGAAAGCUUUUGCGGCGGGGGAUGGGGUCGCGUCCCAUCAGGUAGACGGCGGGGUAGUAGCCCACCGUGCCAACGACGGGUAGCCGGGUUGAGAGACCGACCGGCCACAUUGGGACUGAGAUACGGCCCAGACUCCUACGGGAGGCAGCAGUGGGGAAUCUUGCGCAAUGGGGGAAACCCUGACGCAGCGACGCCGCGUGCGGGAUGGAGGCCUUCGGGCCGUGAACCGCUUUCAGCAGGGAAGACAUUAAGGACGGUACCUACAGAAGAAGCCCCGGCUAACUACGUGCCAGCAGCCGCGGUAAUACGUAGGGGGCGAGCGUUAUCCGGAUUCAUUGGGCGUAAAGCGCGCGCAGGCGGCGCACCAGGCGGGAUCUCGAAACCGGGGGCUCAACCUCCGGGCGGAUCCCGAACCGGUGUGCUCGAGUGCGGUAGAGGAAGUCGGAAUUCCCGGUGUAGCGGUGAAAUGCGCAGAUAUCGGGAAGAACACCGAUGGCGAAGGCAGACUUCUGGGCCGACACUGACGCUCAGGCGCGAAAGCUGGGGGAGCGAACAGG